AGCUUGCUCUUAUGGGUGGCGAGUGGCGGACGGGUGAGGAAUACAUCGGAAUCUACCUUUUCGUGGGGGAUAACGUAGGGAAACUUACGCUAAUACCGCAUACGACCUUCGGGUGAAAGCAGGGGACCUUCGGGCCUUGCGCGGAUAGAUGAGCCGAUGUCGGAUUAGCUAGUUGGCGGGGUAAAGGCCCACCAAGGCGACGAUCCGUAGCUGGUCUGAGAGGAUGAUCAGCCACACUGGAACUGAGACACGGUCCAGACUCCUACGGGAGGCAGCAGUGGGGAAUAUUGGACAAUGGGCGCAAGCCUGAUCCAGCCAUACCGCGUGGGUGAAGAAGGCCUUCGGGUUGUAAAGCCCUUUUGUUGGGAAAGAAAAGCAGUCGAUUAAUACUCGGUUGUUCUGACGGUACCCAAAGAAUAAGCACCGGCUAACUUCGUGCCAGCAGCCGCGGUAAUACGAAGGGUGCAAGCGUUACUCGGAAUUACUGGGCGUAAAGCGUGCGUAGGUGGUUGUUUAAGUCUGUUGUGAAAGCCCUGGGCUCAACCUGGGAAUUGCAGUGGAUACUGGGCAACUAGAGUGUGGUAGAGGGUAGUGGAAUUCCCGGUGUAGCAGUGAAAUGCGUAGAGAUCGGGAGGAACAUCCAUGGCGAAGGCAGCUACCUGGACCAACACUGACACUGA
Molecule: ribosomal RNA, 680 nt
Filed under: Stenotrophomonas rhizophila
Lineage: Bacteria; Pseudomonadati; Pseudomonadota; Gammaproteobacteria; Lysobacterales; Lysobacteraceae
Description: bacterial SSU rRNA
Rfam family: Bacterial small subunit ribosomal RNA
Source: RNAcentral